Molecule: non-coding RNA, 298 nt
Organism: Pelobates cultripes (western spadefoot toad)
Lineage: Eukaryota; Metazoa; Chordata; Amphibia; Anura; Pelobatidae
Source: the annotation of a GenBank genome assembly
CCCAUGCUCAUUUCAGACUAGUAAUUCAUACGGCAAUUCUCUGUUCCUUAAAUAAACUUUUUUCUGGGUCCUCACACUUAGAAAUGCAUAUGUUUUAGGUUUAUCUAAUCUUCUUCAAGAAAAAAAAUCUUCAGGAAGUGAUAUCCAGGUUCCAGUUAAUGGUAUCAGGUAAAAAAGGGGGGAUUUUACCAAUUUUACGUUUCUCCUGAGGUCUCAUUCAGCCUCCACGGUCUUACGUAAGCCCCCACCCCCCAAUGUGGGUUCUAAACGUCUAAACACACCAGGCUUAAGACGCCUC